CACAGAGACGGGCAAGCACUCAGAAGCAUUUCGUUUGCCUUGAUCCUGGAGGCGCGCGGCCGUCUCCCGCUGCCGAGGAUUUGACGCGAACUCCUGGCAGAUCAGAAAUGUUCAGGCGAACGGCGGUUAUAUUUGUCAGUGGACCCAAGACUUCGUUGACGGGCAAAUAUGGAACACUGCAACAAGGACUGGUCUGGAUAGCGUGCUGCGCUGGUCUCGCCAACUGAAAAGAAUUCUGUGACAUUACGAGCCAACAAUGAAAACCUCGAUCCAUCCUGUCUCCACAUAUUAUCUAGUUUGUGCGCCGUGGAGCUUGAAGCACUUCUCAGAAUUUCAGCACACUCGCAUUUAUUGAAAGUGCAGUGUUUUUCUUGUUUGUGCAGCGACAAAAUUAUUUUUAGUUGUGUGAAUAUAGUUUCUACACGCGACAUGACUGUGCAACUGGUCAAGUAAAUAAUCUACCUUUCUCACAGUAUUAUUCAUUGUUCUUUCUUUCAAUCUUUCCCGACAGAAGAACAAUGCAAGUCUCAC
Long non-coding RNA from Rhipicephalus sanguineus (brown dog tick), 531 nucleotides. RefSeq lists it as uncharacterized. The record is from RefSeq and is a predicted model, not a curated record. NCBI's taxonomy places the organism in Eukaryota, Metazoa, Arthropoda, Arachnida, Ixodida, Ixodidae. The transcript has 4 exons.